UAUAUUUUAGUGUAAAAUGCACAGUAAUUUUUGAAAUUACUAGGUAUAGUUUAAUUCUAUAAAAUAUAA
This 69-nucleotide transfer RNA is filed under the name Neptis raddei. RNAcentral describes it as "tRNA-Gln". The record is from RNAcentral. Lineage: Eukaryota; Metazoa; Arthropoda; Insecta; Lepidoptera; Nymphalidae.